AGAGUUUGAUCCUGGCUCAGAAUCAACGCUGGCGGCGCGCUUAACACAUGCAAGUCGAACGAGAAAGGGGAGCAAUCCCUGAGUAAAGUGGCAGACGGGUGAGUAACACGUGGGUGAUCCACUCCUUGGUAGGGGAUAACCCUGGGAAACCGGGGCUAAUACCGCAUAAGUCCGAGAGGAGAAAGGCGAAAGUCGCCGAGGAAGGAGCCCGCGGCCGAUUAGCUAGUUGGUAGGGUAAUGGCCUACCAAGGCUUUGAUCGGUAGCCGGCCUGAGAGGGCACACGGCCACACUGGCACUGAGACACGGGCCAGACUCCUACGGGAGGCAGCAGUGGGGAAUCUUGCACAAUGGGGGCAACCCUGAUGCAGCGACGCCGCGUGAGCGAUGAAGCCCUUCGGGGUGUAAAGCUCUUUCGACGGGAACGAUUAUGACGGUACCCGAGAGA
RNAcentral lists this ribosomal RNA (446 nucleotides) under uncultured Acidobacteriaceae bacterium. Its description in RNAcentral is "bacterial SSU rRNA". It matches the Rfam family "Bacterial small subunit ribosomal RNA", at positions 8 to 488 of the family's 1533-position model. Lineage: Bacteria; Pseudomonadati; Acidobacteriota; Terriglobia; Terriglobales; Acidobacteriaceae. The record is from RNAcentral.